AGCGAACGCUAGCGGCGGGCCUAACACAUGCAAGUCGAGCGGGGAGCAAUCCCAGCGGCGAACGGGUGAGUAACACGUAGGUAAUGUGCCUUUUGGUGGGGAAUAACCGUGGGAAACCAUGGCUAAUACCGCAUAUCGUGCUUCGGCAUGAAAGCUUCUGAGGCAACUCGGGGGCGCCAGUUGAGCAGCCUGCGUCCCAUUAUUUAGUCCAAGUUGGUAGGGUAAUGGCCUACCAAGGGUACGAUGGGUAGCUGGUCUGAGAGGAUGAUCAGCCACACUGGAACUGAGACACGGUCCAGACUCCUACGGGAGGCAGCAGUGGGGAAUAUUGCACAAUGGGAGAAAUCCUGAUGCAGCGACGCCGCGUGUGGGAAGAAGGAGCUUAGCUUCGUAAACCACUGUCGGAGGGACGAAUGAUAGGUUAGACCUAUUGAGACGGUACCCUCAAAGGAAGGAUCGGCUAACUACGUGCCAGCAGCCGCGGUAAU
RNAcentral lists this ribosomal RNA (488 nucleotides) under uncultured bacterium. RNAcentral describes it as "bacterial SSU rRNA". It matches the Rfam family "Bacterial small subunit ribosomal RNA", at positions 29 to 524 of the family's 1533-position model. The record is from RNAcentral.